UGCAGUCGAACGAUGAACCUCACUUGUUGGGGGGAUUAGUGGCGAACGGGUGAGUAACACGUGAGUAACCUGCCCUUGACUCUGGGAUAAGCCUGGGAAACUGGGUCUAAUACCGGAUAUGACCUUCCAUCGCAUGGUGGUUGGUGGAAAGCUUUUGUGGUUUUGGAUGGACUCGCGGCCUAUCAGCUUGUUGGUGGGGUAAUGGCCUACCAAGGCGACGACGGGUAGCCGGCCUGAGAGGGUGACCGGCCACACUGGGACUGAGACACGGCCCAGACUCCUACGGGAGGCAGCAGUGGGGAAUAUUGCACAAUGGGCGGAAGCCUGAUGCAGCGACGCCGCGUGAGGGAUGACGGCCUUCGGGUUGUAAACCUCUUUCAGUAGGGAAGAAGCCGCAAGGUGACGGUACCUGCAGAAGAAGCGCCGGCUAACUACGUGCCAGCAGCCGCGGUAAUACGUAGGGCGCAAGCGUUAUCCGGAAUUAUUGGGCGUAAAGAGCUCGUAGGCGGUUUGUCGCGUCUGCCGUGAAAGUCCGGNNGCUCACUCCGGAUCUGCGGUGGGUACGGGCAGACUAGAGUGAUGUAGGGGAGACUGGAAUUCCUGGUGUAGCGGUGAAAUGCGCAGAUAUCAGGAGGAACACCGAUGGC
RNAcentral lists this ribosomal RNA (647 nucleotides) under bacterium 47-L049616-122-011-G06. Its description in RNAcentral is "bacterial SSU rRNA". It matches the Rfam family "Bacterial small subunit ribosomal RNA", at positions 56 to 716 of the family's 1533-position model. The record is from RNAcentral.